Molecule: ribosomal RNA, 256 nt
Filed under: uncultured bacterium
Lineage: Bacteria
Description: partial 16S ribosomal RNA
Rfam family: Bacterial small subunit ribosomal RNA
Source: RNAcentral
AACGAACGCUGGCGGCAGGCUUAACACAUGCAAGUCGAACGCACCCUUCGGGGUGAGUGGCAGACGGGUGAGUAACGCGUGGGAAUCUACCCAGCCCUUCGGAAUAGCUCCGGGAAACUGGAAUUAAUACCGAGUACGCCCUACGGGGGAAAGGAUUUAUCGGGGUUGGAUGAGCCCGCGUUGGAUUAGCUAGUUGGUGGGGUAAGUGGCCUACCAAGGCGACGAUCCAUAGCUGGUCUGAGAGGAUGANCAGCCA